UACGUAGGGGGCAAGCGUUGUCCGGAUUUAUUGGGCGUAAAGAGCGUGUAGGCGGCCUGAAAGGUCAGCUGUGAAAACUCGAGGCUCAACCUCGAGACGUCGGUUGAAACCAUCUGGCUAGAGUCCGGAAGAGGAGUGUGGAAUUCCCGGUGUAGCGGUGAAAUGCGCAGAUAUCGGGAAGAACACCCGUGGCGAAGGCGGCACUCUGGGACUGUACUGACGCUGAGACGCGAAAGCGUGGGGAGCGAACAGG
Molecule: ribosomal RNA, 253 nt
Filed under: uncultured bacterium
Lineage: Bacteria
Description: partial 16S ribosomal RNA
Rfam family: Bacterial small subunit ribosomal RNA
Source: RNAcentral